UGGACAAGUAGUUUAACCAUAAAACAUAACGCUGAAAAUGUUAAAAUGACAUCCGUCCUUUUCCAA
This 66-nucleotide transfer RNA is filed under the name Parvasolenaia rivularis. Its description in RNAcentral is "Solenaia rivularis tRNA-Phe". It matches the Rfam family "tRNA". From Rfam's summary of the family: Transfer RNA (tRNA) molecules are approximately 80 nucleotides in length. Their secondary structure includes four short double-helical elements and three loops (D, anti-codon, and T loops). Further hydrogen bonds mediate the characteristic L-shaped molecular structure. tRNAs have two regions of fundamental functional importance: the anti-codon, which is responsible for specific mRNA codon recognition, and the 3' end, to which the tRNAs corresponding amino acid is attached (by aminoacyl-tRNA synthetases). tRNAs cope with the degeneracy of the genetic code in two manners: having more than one tRNA (with a specific anti-codon) for a particular amino acid; and 'wobble' base-pairing, i.e. permitting non-standard base-pairing at the 3rd anti-codon position. Lineage: Eukaryota; Metazoa; Mollusca; Bivalvia; Unionida; Unionidae. The record is from RNAcentral.